RNAcentral lists this ribosomal RNA (560 nucleotides) under Actinobacteridae bacterium 07-02PB. RNAcentral's name for it is "bacterial SSU rRNA". It matches the Rfam family "Bacterial small subunit ribosomal RNA", at positions 124 to 698 of the family's 1533-position model. Lineage: Bacteria; Bacillati; Actinomycetota; Actinomycetes. The record is from RNAcentral.
AUCUGCCCUUCACUCUGGGACAAGCCCUGGAAACGGGGUCUAAUACCGGAUAACACUUACCUCCUCCUGGGGGUUGGUUAAAAGCUCCGGCGGUGAAGGAUGAGCCCGCGGCCUAUCAGCUUGUUGGUGGGGUAAUGGCCUACCAAGGCGACGACGGGUAGCCGGCCUGAGAGGGCGACCGGCCACACUGGGACUGAGACACGGCCCAGACUCCUACGGGAGGCAGCAGUGGGGAAUAUUGCACAAUGGGCGAAAGCCUGAUGCAGCGACGCCGCGUGAGGGAUGACGGCCUUCGGGUUGUAAACCUCUUUCAGCAGGGAAGAAGCGCAAGUGACGGUACCUGCAGAAGAAGCACCGGCUAACUACGUGCCAGCAGCCGCGGUAAUACGUAGGGUGCGAGCGUUGUCCGGAAUUAUUGGGCGUAAAGAGCUCGUAGGCGGUCUGUCACGUCGGAUGUGAAAGCCCGGGGCUUAACCCCGGGUCUGCAUUCGAUACGGGCAGACUAGAGUGUGGUAGGGGAGAUCGGAAUUCCUGGUGUAGCGGUGAAAUGCGCAGAUAUC